This 55-nucleotide ribosomal RNA is filed under the name Absidia caerulea. RNAcentral's name for it is "partial 28S ribosomal RNA". The record is from RNAcentral. RNAcentral also lists the same sequence under 1 other name. Lineage: Eukaryota; Fungi; Mucoromycota; Mucoromycetes; Mucorales; Cunninghamellaceae.
CUGAAAUCAGGCGGGAUUACCCGCUGAACUUAAGCAUAUCAAUAAGCGGAGGAAA